CAUCUUCGACGAGGCACUACACGAGGACGUGGGUGAGUACAGAAGGGAGCACCCUGGCCUCACCCUCCUACAGUACGUAGAUGACAUCCUGAUUGCUGCCGACACGGCCAAAGACUGAGCGAGGGACCCAGGACCUGCUGGCUACCCUGGGGGCCUUAGGGUACCGGGCAUCCACGAAGAAGGCUCAGAUAUCCAGGGAGAGGGUGCUCCACUACAUGACUGUGCGGGAAUCCUGGAACAAGUACAUGGAUUCCGGACGGACCUGACCGACCGGCCCCUCCCUGAUGCCACUUGGUUCACUGAUGGCAGCAGCUUUGUGUGAGAUGGACACAGGUAUGCGGGUGCAGCGGUGGUCACCGAAACGGACACCGUAUGGGCGGAGGCUCUACCCUCUGGAACAUCAGCCCAGCGAGCAGAGCUCAUAGCCCUCACCAAGGCGCUGAUGCUGGGAGCUAGAAAACGGCUUAACAACUACCGGAUUUGGGAGACCCAGUUUUACUAGACCAGCCCAAAUACUCCCAGGAGGAGUUACAGUGGAUCAAGAAACUCCCCAUGGCCCAGGAGAUAAAGGGAUGGUGGUAUACACCUAACAAGGAGCUCGUGCUGCCAGACCAGCUCGGAGUCUCAAUAUUAGAGCACAUGCAUCGGUCUACUCACAUGGGGGCCC
Molecule: long non-coding RNA, 667 nt
Organism: Herpailurus yagouaroundi (jaguarundi)
Lineage: Eukaryota; Metazoa; Chordata; Mammalia; Carnivora; Felidae
Exons: 2
Source: RefSeq, a predicted model, not a curated record